RNAcentral lists this long non-coding RNA (578 nucleotides) under Theobroma cacao (cacao). RNAcentral's name for it is "long non-coding RNA (TCAC_LNC002195)". Lineage: Eukaryota; Viridiplantae; Streptophyta; Magnoliopsida; Malvales; Malvaceae. The record is from RNAcentral.
AGGGCUUGAGUUCACUGCUCUCCAGGAGAAACAUGUAAGCGCAGAGAAUGAAGCUUCUUCACAGUUAACAGCCCUGGAGGUGCAGGUUAAAAAUUUGAAGCAGGAGUUGGAUUCCUUACAGACCCAGAGAAAUGAACUGGAAUUGCAGCUUGAGAGAGAGAAACAAGAAUCAUCAGAAAGACAUUCUGAAAUGGAGAAUCAGAAAUUGGAAAAUGGUCGGUUAAGGGAGGAAAAGGUGGGGUUAGAGGAUCAAAUCUUUGAAUUAGAGAAAAAAUUGGCAGAAAGAGGGCUUGAAUUCACUGCUCUCCAGGAAAAACAUGUAAGCGCAGAGAAUGAGGCUUCUUCACAGUUAACAGCUCUAGAGGUGCAGGUUAAAAAUUUGAAGCAAGAGUUGGAUUCCUUACAGACCCAGAGAAACGAACUGGAGUUGCACCUCGAGAGAGAGAAACAAGAAUCAUCAGAAAGACUCUCUGAAAUGGAGAAUCAGAAGUUGGAGAAUGGUCAGUUAAGGGAGGAAAAGGUGGGGUUGCAGGGUCAAAUCUUAGAAUUAGAGAAAACAUUGGCAGAAAGAGGGCUUG